UGCUAUGUACGUUAUCAACAUAAAUAUGUAAUUCUUCUAUACAAAUGAUCUAUUAUAAAUAAAACUUUUAUUACAUCUUAUAGAACCACAUGUACUGAUUCUGAGCAACGUCGUAUCGAAUUGGAAAACCGCUAUAAAACAUUUCAUCUUCCUUAUGUUACACGUUUUUCUUUUUAAAAGGUACUUACAAUGUAGCUUUAUAGAAAAAUAAUAAUAUUGUAUCAAAUACUAUGGAUAGUUGAUAUAGAUGUCGGGAUUUCACAUGCAUACAAUAAAAUUAUCGGCUAGUUAAAAUGUAAGUUAUUAUUACAAUUAUUUGUGCAUUGAUUUUUUUUUUAUUCUCACAGACAAAUGCAUUGCAUGCAAUAAGAGUGUUCGCCCCAGACAAGAGGCCAUCCAGUGUGAAGGAUGUGAACUAUGGCAACACAGAGCAUGUAAUACUGGAAUCACCCGUGACCAGUAUAGACGAAUAGGGAAACUGCAAGAAGACAUCCAGUGGGUUUGCGCCCGGUGCUUGGAAAAUCCUACUGAUACAGAAGAGUUUGUAGCUGCAGCUGAUGCCACAUUUCACGUGUCAAUAGCCUCCCUUGGUUCAUCAGUUGCUGAACCCGAUGAUGAAGAUGAACAGGAGGAUGAAUCUA
Molecule: long non-coding RNA, 641 nt
Organism: Ostrea edulis (European flat oyster)
Lineage: Eukaryota; Metazoa; Mollusca; Bivalvia; Ostreida; Ostreidae
Exons: 3
Source: RefSeq, a predicted model, not a curated record